UCUUCCAGCGGAAGCGAAUCCCCCUCUCCCGACGAGACAGAUGCAGACACCUGCAGYGCCGACGGCGACGGAGCUGCCGACCACGGCUGUAAAUCGGGAGAGGACAGCUCUGCCAGUGGCUCCAGCAGCACCUCUGGAGAUGAGUCAGAUGCCGAGGAGUCGGAUGGGGGAAA
Molecule: long non-coding RNA, 173 nt
Organism: Nothoprocta perdicaria
Lineage: Eukaryota; Metazoa; Chordata; Aves; Tinamiformes; Tinamidae
Exons: 4
Source: RefSeq, a predicted model, not a curated record